This 365-nucleotide ribosomal RNA is filed under the name uncultured Pelotomaculum sp. RNAcentral describes it as "bacterial SSU rRNA". It matches the Rfam family "Bacterial small subunit ribosomal RNA", at positions 1018 to 1382 of the family's 1533-position model. The record is from RNAcentral. Lineage: Bacteria; Bacillati; Bacillota; Clostridia; Eubacteriales; Desulfotomaculaceae.
UUCGGGUGACAGGGAGACAGGUGGUGCGAUGGUUGUCGUCAGCUCGUGUCGUGAGAUGUUGGGUUAAGUCCCGCAACGAGCGCAACCCCUACGUUUAGUUGCUAACGCGUGAAGGCGAGCACUCUAGACGAACUGCCGUUGACAAAACGGAGGAAGGUGGGAUGACGUCAAAUCAUCAUGCCCUUAUGUUCUGGGCUACACACGUGCUACAAUGGCCGGUACAGACGGACGCAAAGCCGCGAGGUGGAGCAAAUCCUAAAAAGCCGGUCUCAGUUCGGAUUGCAGGCUGCAAUUCGCCUGCAUGAAGUCGGAAUCGCUAGUAAUCGCAGGUCAGCAUACUCGCGGUCGAAUACGUUCCGGGCCUU